This is a long non-coding RNA of Scophthalmus maximus (turbot), 987 nucleotides long. RefSeq lists it as uncharacterized. The transcript has 2 exons. The record is from RefSeq and is a predicted model, not a curated record. Lineage: Eukaryota; Metazoa; Chordata; Actinopteri; Pleuronectiformes; Scophthalmidae.
AGAGUGUGCCACGCACGUUAUACCGUGGAGGAAAUCUGGCGUUAACCAUUUCAAGUAUUGCCAAAAUUCGCAGCCAGGAAGAGCUCCUCUCUUUUCGGCACCGUUUGGCGCUUGUUUUCCGUCAACACCGAGCAGCGGGCGUGGAAAAAUCCCAACCACGACUAUUAAUCAUUCGGGGCGGACAUGGACAGCAAUCCCACUCCCACACCAUGCCUUUGUCUUCUCAAACUACAACUUGAGCGGUAAACUUUUAAAGACACGCAGGAACAGAAGCAGACCGCCGCUCAUUAAUUCACCUUCAACAAUUCUUAACCUGAAGAAGAGUUUAAGGGUUUAAAACGGAACUUUUACGCACAAUGGAAAGCCGUCACCUGGACUCUGUGGCUCGACAUGACCGUGCUUGGAGGCUUACCUAACCUUGUCUUUCGCCACCAAACCUGAACUCCUUCCCUGUCCCGGUCAGACGUACGCACAGAGUCGAGAGGAAGACGUUACCCAAAAGGCCCUCAGCCUGUUUUUUUUUUUAACCUUUUGCUGCACUUUUUUUCUUCUUUUUUUUUUUUACAGAAUGCCCUUUUGCACAAGUGUACAAGUUGAUUAAUUGUGUUUUAAAUCUCAUCUGUUUCAGCAUUAAACAAAUGUUUCGGGGUAUUUACACAAAUCAAGGCUCCUUAUCACUGUCAGCGACGAGGAGUUAGAGGCGCAGACCCCUGGAUGUUGGCCAGUCGGCGGUCCAUAUCUUCCCACAAUGUUGACACUCGGAGCUCUUUACAGCCAGGCUUGGGUUACCGAUACACUCAGCUGAAGAUAACUCUUUCUGCGAGGUUUACACCGGCCAACAUCAAGGCUAAAUGCGAAAUCCAACGCCUUAAGCAAAUGGAAGCCGCCCUCCCUCGUGGACGCGGAGCAGCACUGGGGACGGGACGGACGAGGACUGGAGAUUUGUGCUCACAUAUAGGUGGUUGUAAUAAAGCUAUUUGAACUGUG